CUAUUAUAGUUGCUUGGGCUUUCUCACCUUCAAACUUGUGGACGACAUCUUUGGGCUAGAAAUCCUUUCUUGCUGAGGCUUUCCUGUGCAUUGUAAAUGUUUUGAAAUUUCCCUGUGCUCUCUCCACUAGAUGUCAGUAGUACCUUCUCCCAAAGUGUGACAACCGAAAAAUGUCUGCAGACCUCGUCAAAAGUCUUUGGAAUACAAAGUCAUACUGGUUGAGGACCACUGCGUUAGCCUAAGCCGCUAUGAUGUACAUCUGAUCUGUUACCAUAGACUCUUCACUGUCCCCUCCCUGGCUUGCCUCUCUAUUCAUCUGUCCCUCCAGUAUGAAUUUGCUCCUCACAAGAUGUGAACCCUGAGGCACAGAGUCCAAAUGUGGGUUCCAGGGAAACUAAAAGCAGGUGAUAAGAGACUAAACAAGCGGAGCUUGGGUUGGCCUAAGAGCCAGGAAGAGACUUCUCUGAGGAAGGUGCCUGAAAGAGCAGCUGGAGAUCACUGAAAGUAAAGGGAAAAGACUAUUGCAGAAUUAGAGACAAGAGAGAAAAGAGCCAGCAGGAAGAUAGAACACAAAGAGAACAAAACCAAGGAAGUGUUCAAAGAACCCGCUGAAUACACUGCACAUCUCAACCACAGAAAUAUU
Long non-coding RNA from Fukomys damarensis (Damara mole-rat), 643 nucleotides. RefSeq lists it as uncharacterized. The record is from RefSeq and is a predicted model, not a curated record. NCBI's taxonomy places the organism in Eukaryota, Metazoa, Chordata, Mammalia, Rodentia, Bathyergidae. The transcript is spliced from 3 exons.